Molecule: ribosomal RNA, 265 nt
Filed under: uncultured archaeon
Lineage: Archaea
Description: partial 16S ribosomal RNA
Rfam family: Archaeal small subunit ribosomal RNA
Source: RNAcentral
AGUCACUGACAUUAGAUACCCCUGUAGUCCAGGGUGUAAACGCUGCAGACUUGGUGUUGGAAGUCCUUUGGGGGCAUUCAGUGCCGGAGAGAAGUUGUUAAGUCUGCUACUUGGGGAGUACGUCCGCAAGGAUGAAACUUAAAGGAAUUGGCGGGGGAGCACCACAACGGGUGGAGCCUGCGGUUUAAUUGGACUCAACGCCGGAAAUCUCACCGGAUAGGACAGACAUAUGAUAGUCGGGCUGAAGACUCUACUUGAUGAUCUG